CAACAUCUGCCAACGGGCAAUCUGUAACACCCCAAAAUUUGCCCUCCUCAUUCAUGCAUUCAUUUAGCAUUUCAUAUUGCAUUUCAUCAUGUCAGUCAGAAUUACAUCCGAAAAAAAAAAAAAAACCGAAAAAAAAAAUGAAAAAAAAAUGAAAAAUAAAACGUAAAAUAAAAAAUAAAAAAAAAAAUUAAUUUUUUACAAAAAUAAAUAAAUAAAUAAAUAAAAUAUAAUAAAAAUUUUUGGACUUGGGUCUCUCUUAUUUGAG
This 265-nucleotide long non-coding RNA is filed under the name Lathyrus oleraceus (garden pea). RNAcentral's name for it is "Pisum sativum (pea) long non-coding RNA (PSAT_LNC029507)". The record is from RNAcentral. Lineage: Eukaryota; Viridiplantae; Streptophyta; Magnoliopsida; Fabales; Fabaceae.